Molecule: long non-coding RNA, 495 nt
Organism: Diceros bicornis minor
Lineage: Eukaryota; Metazoa; Chordata; Mammalia; Perissodactyla; Rhinocerotidae
Exons: 3
Source: RefSeq, a predicted model, not a curated record
GGUAGAAGUUGGGGACAAGCUCCUGCUUGCAAAGGAGUGAGCUGUGGCAGUCUGGUGAAAAAGCAGAACAAGGAGAUGACAUUUUCAAGAGCUGAGAUAAAGUGUCUGCCCAGUGUACUCUGUUAUUUGCUUGACCAACCUUGAAGGCAUUUGAGCUUCUGGCCCUACCUAUAGGGUCCAGGGAAGGGAAAUAUGAGGAAACUGAGGCUCAGAGCACUGAAGAUUGUCUUGCCUACACCAGCUCUGAAAAGGGCAGGGGCAGGAGCAGCAGAGGGGCUGGGUGCUCUGCGCAUCCACAUGGCAGUCACUGGCCUCAAGUCAGUGUGAACACAGGGAGGCGUUCUUCCAACUGUUCACGUUCCUUUGGAGCGAAAGAGACACAGAGUGGACUAUGUGGGUUCUGGAAGCCUCCAGUCACAAAUCAAGUUCUGAGUUAAUGGAAAACUUAUUCAAGAAAUCUUGACUUUCAAUAAUGAAAUUAAAAGUUUAUGAAAG